This is a long non-coding RNA of Paramisgurnus dabryanus, 1203 nucleotides long. RefSeq lists it as uncharacterized. Lineage: Eukaryota; Metazoa; Chordata; Actinopteri; Cypriniformes; Cobitidae. The record is from RefSeq and is a predicted model, not a curated record.
CGGUGCAUGCGGUUGCUUGCAUUAAACGUAAACUGUUAAAUUAGAUGGCGACUCUGCAUUAAACGUAUUUAUUUAAUUAAUCGGCGAUCAUAUUUCACCAGAGGACUAAGAUAAAACAACUCGAUUUAAAAUAUGAGCAGUUUUAGUUGAUCUGACGUUGAGGGAAAAAGUAUUUCGCUUUUUGUUUGGAGAUGAACGAGACAACACGAGGGUAAGUGAUGACAGAUUUUCACAUUUCUUUAUUUAGUUAACUAUUAAAUAAGUAAAACAUUACAUUACAUUUAACCCAGCUUCUUUAUGUAACGUUAUGUCUGUGUUGCGUGUGGUAAUUGGAACAUCUUUAUUUUCUGACUAUCGUUAGGCAUUUCUCUUAAGCAUUUCAGAAAUCAUUAAAACCUUUCAUUUUUUUUUAGCACAGCGACAUAAAUAUGACCAACCAGAUCCCAAGUAGACAGGAACAAAUGAAGAUAUAGCGCAUAGAAAGACUUAUUCUUGGUGAUCAACUGCUAUUGACAUUUUUGAAUCGGGGCAAAUGUGGAGUGAAGAAAAACGUUUGCAACACAUCCAUUCCAGAGUGCUUUGACAGAUAAAACUGACACGCUUGAUGAGGACACAGUCAAGCUUUAAAAGCCCGUGUGAUAAAGCAGUCUUCAAUUACUACGGUGUCUGAAUUGCAAGAAGAAGUCACCCUCCACUUAAACAUGUGACAUCUAAACUGUUUUGUGUUUUAGUUCAGCUUUUUAUAGGUUUAUCUUAAGUUGGUUAAAGGCAGAGUGCACUAUUUUUGAAAGCCAAUGUUAACAUUUGAAAUUACCUAAACAAACAUGCCUCUACCCCAAUAGAAUCUGGACCUUCUUUUGAUAGAGCCACCACACACAUACGCAACCCCGGCAAGGGUGUCGGUUAGUAGACACACCCCUUACUGCUGGUUGGCUACAAGUGUGUUUUGGUAGUCGGCCCAAUUUCCUUUUCCAAAGCGUUUUUCAAACAUUGUGCACUCCGUCUUUAAAUUGCACUUAAAACAUUUAUUUUUCAGUAACUUUUUAUGCAGAGAAUUACAUUAUGAUUAUUAUAUAAUCAUUGCUUAUGAAUAUUUAGUGAUUGCAUAUUCAUAGUGUACUUUUCAUUAAUACAUUUAAUGUUAAUGUUGUACAAUUUGAUAGAAGUAGCUCUGUAAUUGCAUUUCUCUGAUAUUUGUUUUAU